RNAcentral lists this ribosomal RNA (469 nucleotides) under uncultured Acidovorax sp. RNAcentral describes it as "bacterial SSU rRNA". It matches the Rfam family "Bacterial small subunit ribosomal RNA", at positions 910 to 1382 of the family's 1533-position model. Lineage: Bacteria; Pseudomonadati; Pseudomonadota; Betaproteobacteria; Burkholderiales; Comamonadaceae. The record is from RNAcentral.
UUGACGGGACCGCACAAGCGGUGGAUGAUGUGGUUUAAUUCGAUGCAACGCGAAAACCUUACCACCUUUGACAUGUACGGAAUCCUUUAGAGAUAGAGGAGUGCUCGAAAGAGAACCGUAACACAGGUGCUGCAUGGCUGUCGUCAGCUCGUGUCGUGAGAUGUUGGGUUAAGUCCCGCAACGAGCGCAACCCUUGUCAUUAGUUGCUACAUUCAGUUGGGGCACUCUAAUGAGACUGCCGGUGACAAACCGGAGGAAGGUGGGGAUGACGUCAAGUCCUCAUGGCCCUUAUAGGUGGGGCUACACACGUCAUACAAUGGAUGGUACAAAGGGUCGCCAACCCGCGAGGGGGAGCCAAUCCCAUAAAGCCAUUCGUAGUCCGGAUCGCAGUCUGCAACUCGACUGCGUGAAGUCGGAAUCGCUAGUAAUCGUGGAUCAGAAUGUCACGGUGAAUACGUUCCCGGGUCUU